Ochotona curzoniae (black-lipped pika) is the source of this 783-nucleotide long non-coding RNA. RefSeq lists it as uncharacterized. The transcript has 2 exons. The record is from RefSeq and is a predicted model, not a curated record. NCBI's taxonomy places the organism in Eukaryota, Metazoa, Chordata, Mammalia, Lagomorpha, Ochotonidae.
AGUCAGGACUUAAACAUGUGCCCCUGUGGGAUGCCAGUGCCGCAGGUGGAGACUUAAGCUGCUACAACACUACUCUGACUUCUCCUUUGCUCACUUUGUUUUAUUUUCUGUAUUGGGUUUCUUUAUUUAAAUUUUUCCCCUUGCUGUGACUAUUUCUUAUUGUGAAGCACUUAACUAUUUUGACCUCCUAGGUUUUUUUUCCAAUUUUAUAAUUUGGCUGUUUAAUUUACACUUAAGUUAGAAGUUUUGAAGUAUACCUGGUAUACUUUUCCACUGUAUUCAUUUUACAUGUGGGCAGCCUCUAUCUUAUGUUUGUCAGCUCUAAAACAGAGGCAUAAUCAAAAAAAAUAUUUGAAUUACUGUCAUGUACUACAUACAUCAUGGCAUUUCAGGCAUGGUUCACAAUGCAAAGUACUCCUGUAGUAUAUUGCCUGUUGAGGUUGGUGUAGUUGUCCUAGUGUGCAUAAAUACAUUGUAAGAUGUUAACAGUGACAGAAUUGCCUAAAGAUGAGAUUUUCACGAUGUAUCCUCUUCAUUAAGCAACACAUCUAUACUUCUAUGAAUUUGUUUCUGUUGCAAAGCUAGGUGUUGGAUUAAUGAUCCAAGCCACAUUAAGUGGUUAGAUACAAGGAGGUUGAGAUAGAGUGAAUGGGUGCUUAUUGUUCAGAGCACUUAGACAUAAUUAACUUGGAUUAUUGACAGCUCUGCAUUGCUUUUUACCUAACUGGCCAUGGUUAGUGAGAGAAGUGGUGUUAGGGUUCUUACUGGCAUUGCUAUUAAAGC